This 548-nucleotide long non-coding RNA is filed under the name Medicago truncatula (barrel medic). RNAcentral's name for it is "lncRNA gene32021". The record is from RNAcentral. Lineage: Eukaryota; Viridiplantae; Streptophyta; Magnoliopsida; Fabales; Fabaceae.
GUUUUCUUACGAUAAUAUUAGAGUACAAAACCAUAAAUGCAAGGUUCAUGAGUUUAGAAAAAUAAAAAUAAAAUCAUUGUUCUAGUAAAAUAGAAAAAAUGACACCUCUUGUAAUAUUCGAACAUAACAUAUAAUGCACAUUUUUUCGAUAACAUAAUAACUCAUUCUCCUCUAUAGGGAGUUUUUGCAUUCUCCUUUAUUUGGUAUUCUGAGAAUCAGUGACGCUUUGCAGCCCAUUCACAUUUUUUAUUAAUGCAUCUCAAAAAAAAAUUCUUGUCUGUAGACCGUGGACAAUCCGCAUCCGUUUCACAUCCAAAAUGCGCUGUAACGAAUAAAUAUAGUAAAAUAGUGUUACUAAAAGAUGAUAAAAGAAAGUUGUGUAUGAACUACAAAGCAAAGAAGGAAAUUUGAAAUGGAUGAAAACAUGGCUUACAACCACCAACUUCUGAUGCGAUAAGAAAGAAGGAAAGAAAAAGAAUCAUAGCGUAAACAAACUUCAGAGUUUUCUUUUUGGUUACAACGAACUUCAGAGUUUCAGUCAUAGUUUU